GACGAACGCUGGCGGCGUGCUUAACACAUGCAAGUCGAACGGGCCCGCCCUCUUUUUUGGGGGUGGGUUGAGUGGCGAACGGGUGAGUAUCACGUGAGUAACCUGCCCCCUGCUCCUGGAUAACUGCUUGAAAGGGCGGCUAAUACGGGGUGUGCCGGCUGGUCCGCAUGGGCCUGGUCGGGAUAGUUUCAUCUUCGGGUGUUUCGGUGGGGGAUGGGCUCGCGGCCUAUCAGCUUGUUGGUGGGGUGAUGGCCCACCAAGGCGGUGACGGGUAGCCGGCCUGAGAGGGUGGGCGGCCACACUGGGACUGAGACACGGCCCAGACUCCUGCGGGAGGCAGCAGUGGGGGGUAUUGCACAAUGGGCGGAAGCCUGAUGCAGCGACGUCGCGUGAGGGAUGGAGGCCUUCGGGUUGUGAACCUCUUUCUCCGGUGGUGAAGGCCCUGUCCGUUGCGGCGGGGUUGACGGUAGCCGGGUAUGAAGCGCCGGCUAACUACGUGCCAGCAGCCGCGGUAAUACGUAGGGCGCGAGCGUUGUCCGGAAUUAUUGGGCGUGAAGGGCUUGUAGGCGGCCGGUCGCGUCCGCCGUGAAAUUCUCCGGCUCAACCGGGGGCUUGCGGUGGGUACGGGCCGGCUGGAGUGCGGUAGGGGAGGCUGGAACUCCUGGUGUAGCGGUGGAAUGCGCAGACAUCAGGAGGAACACCGGUGGCGAAGGCGGGUCUCUGGGCCGUUACUGACGCUGAGGAGCGAAAGCGUGGGGAGCGAACAGG
Molecule: ribosomal RNA, 768 nt
Filed under: uncultured Actinomyces sp.
Lineage: Bacteria; Bacillati; Actinomycetota; Actinomycetes; Actinomycetales; Actinomycetaceae
Description: bacterial SSU rRNA
Rfam family: Bacterial small subunit ribosomal RNA
Source: RNAcentral